GGGCAUGCGUGCCAUUAGUUAGUUGGUGAGGUUACGGCUCACCAAGGACAACGAUGGCUAGGGGGUCUGAGAGGAUGAUCCCCCACACUGGUACUGAGACACGGACCAGACUCCUACGGGAGGCAGCAGUGAGGAAUAUUGGUCAAUGGACGCAAGUCUGAACCAAUCAUGCCGCGUGCAGGAUGAAUGCCCUAUGGGUUGUAAACUGCUUUUCUACAAGAAGAAACUUCCUGAUGUAUCAGGAACUGACGGUAUUGUAUGAAUAAGCAUCGGCUAACUCCGUGCCAGCAGCCGCGGUAAUACGGAGGAUGCAAGCGUUAUCCGGAUUCAUUGGGUUCAAAGGGUGCGUAGGCGGGGUAGUAAGUCAGUGGUGAAAGCCUGCGGCUUAACCGUAGAAUUGCCAUUGAUACUGCUAUUCUUGAGUGCCGUUGAGGUAGGCGGAAUGUGUAAUGUACCGGUGAAAUGCUUAGAUAUUACAGCAGAACACCGAUUGCGUAGGCAGGUUACUAAACUGUAACUGACGCUGAGGCCCGAAAGCGUGGGGAGCGAACAGGAUUAGAUACCCUGGUAGUCCACGCUGUAAACUAUGAUCCCUCGCUGUUGGGGAUACAUUGUCAGCGGCUGAGCGAAAGCGUUAAGUGAUCCCACCUGGGGAGUACGACCGCAAGAUUGAAACUCAAAGGAAUUGACGGGGGCCCGCACAAGCGGUGGAACAUGUGCUUUAAUUCGAUGAUACGCGAGGAACCUUACCUGGGCUUCAAUGCAGAACGACGUACCGGGAAACUGGUACUCCCUUCGGGGCGGACUGCAAGGUGCUGCAUGAUAGUCGUCAGCUCGUGCCGUGAGGUGUCGGCUUAAGUCCCAUGACGAGCGCAACCCUCAUUGUUAGUCCCCAGCGAGUAAUGUCGGGGACUCUGACGAAACUGCCGGUGUAGACCGUGAGGAAGGUGGGGAUGACGUCAAAUCAGCACGGCCCUUAUGUCCAGGGCUACACACGUGUUACAAUGGCCAGUACAAAGGGCAGCUACCACGCGAGUGGAUGCUAAU
This 1047-nucleotide ribosomal RNA is filed under the name uncultured organism. RNAcentral's name for it is "bacterial SSU rRNA". It matches the Rfam family "Bacterial small subunit ribosomal RNA", at positions 227 to 1272 of the family's 1533-position model. The record is from RNAcentral.